GGGUCCGGACACACUGAGGAUUGACAGGCAAAAGAUACAAGUUUUCUUUGUGAGAGCUUGCAUUGUAAAAUAUGCGAGUCCUUUCAUGAUUAUGUGAUAGGUGGUGCAUGGCCGUUCUUAGUUCGUGGAGUGAUCUGUCUGCUUAAUUGCGUUUCACAACGAUUUAAAAUGCUAUGUUUUCUGUGUUUGCUGUUCGGUUUUAGCUCUUACGGGAGUUUUUAACUUUGAACGCACACGGCGUAGCUUAAAACAAUCGGAAAGCAACGAACGUGACCGCAACCUCUUGUUGCCUUUAUUUUUAAAAGCGUGGAAAAUUUUAUAUUUUCUUACGCUUGAAAAAGGCUUUAAAACUAGAGGGACCGCUGUUCUAUUCUCUUAAACCAGAGGAAGAUUGCGGCAAUAACAGGUCUGUGAUGCCCUCAGAUGUUCCGGGCUGCACACGUGCUACAAUGGUUGUUGCAGUGAGCAUCUAUUUUCAAACGCUACCGUUGCGGAUUUUGUGAGAAGGGGGCUUGUUUUAAAGCUUUCGGGUGGAGAAGCAGGUUCUUUUUUUUCACAAUUUAUUCCGCGUUACGUGUCAGCUAAACCUGCUUCGAAAGCAAGUAGGU
RNAcentral lists this ribosomal RNA (608 nucleotides) under Micrometula hyalostriata. Its description in RNAcentral is "bacterial SSU rRNA". It matches the Rfam family "Eukaryotic small subunit ribosomal RNA", at positions 1220 to 1547 of the family's 1831-position model. Lineage: Eukaryota; Foraminifera; Allogromiidae. The record is from RNAcentral.